Molecule: ribosomal RNA, 425 nt
Filed under: uncultured bacterium
Lineage: Bacteria
Description: partial 16S ribosomal RNA
Rfam family: Bacterial small subunit ribosomal RNA
Source: RNAcentral
GUGGGGAAUCUUAGACAAUGGGGGAAACCCUGAUCUAGCCAUGCCGCGUGAGCGAUGAAGGCCUUAGGGUUGUAAAGCUCUUUCAGCUGGGAAGAUAAUGACGGUACCAGCAGAAGAAGCCCCGGCUAACUCCGUGCCAGCAGCCGCGGUAAUACGGAGGGGGCUAGCGUUGUUCGGAAUUACUGGGCGUAAAGCGCGCGUAGGCGGACCAGAAAGUUGGAGGUGAAAUCCCAGGGCUCAACCUUGGAACUGCCUUCAAAACUCCUGGUCUGGAGUUCGAGAGAGGUGAGUGGAAUUCCGAGUGUAGAGGUGAAAUUCGUAGAUAUUCGGAGGAACACCAGUGGCGAAGGCGGCUCACUGGCCCGGUACUGACGCUGAGGUGCGAAAGCGUGGGGAGCAAACAGGAUUAGAAACCCGGGUAGUCC